AUGGAUGAGAUAAUCAGUGAAGAGCAAAGCGCGUUUGUCCCAGGACAACUUAUAACUGACAAUGUUCUAGUUGCAUAUGAAAGUGUGCACACAAUGAGAAGGCGGAAGAAAGGGAAGAACUACGCUUGUGCAAUUAAACUAGACAUGAUGAAAGCCUACGAUCGUGUCGAGUGGCAUUUUCUUGAGGCCAUUCUCACAAAGUUGGGCUUCAACAUGGUCUUUGUCCGGUUGAUUAUGAAAUGCGUAUCCUCGAUACGCUUCUCGGUCAGGGUGAAUGGUGAGCGGUUGCCCUUCUUCACACCCUCGCGAGGGCUGAGACAAGGAGACCCAGCGUCACCUUUCCUUUUUCUGCUUUGUGCGGAGGGUUUCUCCUCUUUGCUGAAGUUUUACAAUAAUGGGUACAUCGACAGAGGCAUAAGAGUGAGCUACAGAUCGCUGUGGGUGUCACACUUGCUUUUCGCUGACGACAGUCUGAUCUUUGUCAGUGCUAACACCCAAAGUGCAGAAAGAUUGAAUGGCAUCUUGAUGAUUUAUGGGGAAUCAUCGGGGCAGUGUGUUAAUCGGGCCAAGAGCGCCAUAUACUUCAGCUCUAACACUCCGGUCCAGCUCAAGCAGCAGCUAAAAUCGGUCCUCAACAUCGACGUCGAGGCCUUUAGCGAGCGUUACCUGGGGAUGCCCACAGCGGUCGACCGUAUCACGAGCGGUACUUUCGACCACAUCGGGGAGAGAGCUUGCGGGAAUUCAGGGAUGGUCUGA
Molecule: ribosomal RNA, 756 nt
Filed under: Triticum aestivum (bread wheat)
Lineage: Eukaryota; Viridiplantae; Streptophyta; Magnoliopsida; Poales; Poaceae
Description: partial small subunit ribosomal RNA
Source: RNAcentral